Molecule: long non-coding RNA, 15618 nt
Filed under: Citrus x clementina
Lineage: Eukaryota; Viridiplantae; Streptophyta; Magnoliopsida; Sapindales; Rutaceae
Description: Citrus clementina (C. clementina) long non-coding RNA (CCLE_LNC004410)
Source: RNAcentral
CUUUUACCACUUAUCCUUAACUUUUCCAUGAAAUUGUGAAUGGUUAAUUUUCCUCAAUCUUUUAUUAAAUUAAUUGUAUAAAAUAACAUAAAAUUUUAUGAGGAUUAAACUAUUCCUAAUUGUAAAUUAUUUGCCCUCUUAGUUUUAUUGAUUAAUGUUAUAUGCAACCCGUGUUCAUGGUUUCUUAAUAGUGUCCCUCAUCUAACCAAAAUCCUAGUUUCGCCCUGUAUGAAAUGCUUAAAAACAUAGUAAUAAACUAUUAAUCAAAAUGUAUCUAUCAUAUCUUCUAUAUGAAAAGAAAACAAUAUAGAAUUUUAAUUACUAUGAGAAUAAGAGAAUCAAUGUGAGUUUCACGCAUGACUCAUCAAUCCAAGAUCGAAAAAGUACAUAAAAAUAAGGAAAAAAAUUGCAAGGAGCAAUAUUUGUCCCUAGCUACUAGACACUUUUGGUCUCAUGUUAUGAGACUAAUUUGAUUUCCAAACACAUUAUUUGAUAUUUCCAUCAUUAAAAAUAACAAAUAAUAAUAAACUUUUUGGAUAAUUUAAGAGGCUUCAAAGGAGAGUAGAAGAUAACAAGAUUUUCUUGUGCCUAUAAUUAAAUUUAUAGCGAAACGACAAGUGAAAUCAAAGCCGAUUAAAAUUAACCUUUUAAUUAUAUGUAAUCAAAUAAAACGAAGAAAAGGAAAUCAAAUUCAAGUUACGAACUUUUGUUCCCACAAGUAUUGUCAGUUAUUUGUUUUAAAUAUUUGUUAGUUGAUCAUAGUGUUUAUGAGAGCUUCUAUGCAAAUAUCACAUUUAACAUUUCUAUAUCUUUAUGUAUGCAUGAGGAUAUUAAUAAGAAAUUUUCCUUUUUAGAAAUUUGUACACAGAUUAUCUCUGUGUUCUUGAAUAUAAGAGUCUAAUCAUCCUAUCUUUAUCAAAUUUUCUCAUUUCAAUGAAAGUAAAAUAUACUAUAAUGUCAAGAUAUCAGGGGAAACUAACUGCAUAUAUAAUUUCUAAUAAAUUAUAAAGGAUCCAACGAAUUCAAAAUGACAACAAGGUAUUUUGGAUAAUUUUUUUUAAAUAUGUAGACUAAUUGGAUGAUUAAAUCACGUCGUAUGAAAUAUAACAUCAUUUUUCCAUAGUUUGCGAAUACACAUAGAAGUGCAUAAAUGAAGUUGGGUUAGGUAUUAUGUAACCAUAAACCUGAAGUCAUUUUAGAUUCUACUUGGGUGAAAAGGGGGUUUCACUUUGUGAGAGAAAGAUUGAUUAAAUAGAAACGCUUACCUAAAAGUGAUGCUACCUGGGAAAGUUCUCAAGAAUUAUGAGAUAGGUUCAUUAUUAUGUACCUGAAGGAUAUGGUUCCAGUGAAGGAGGGGGUAUUGACAUUUAAGGUACAUACAUGAAGGUUAUGGGAAAAUUCUCGAGAAUUAUGAGAUAGGUUCAUUACUAUGGACCUUGAGGACAAGGUUCUAGUGAAGGAGGGGGUAUUGACAUCCAAGGUACCUUCUCGAGAAUUAUGAACUAGGUUCAUUAUUAUGUACAUUGAGGAUAAGGUUCCAGUAAAGCAGCGGGUAUUGACAUUCAAGUACGAAUAAGAAGGUCAUGGGGAAGUUCUCAAGAGCUAUGAGAUAAGUCAAUUACUAUGGACCUUAAGGACAAGGUUCUAGUGAAGAAAGGGGUAUUGACAUCCAAGAUACAUACAAAAAGGUUGUAUGAAAGUUAUCAAUAAUUACGAUAUAGGUUCAUUACUAUGGACCUUGAGGGUAAGGUUCCAGUGAAGGAGGGGUAAGUCGUAAGAAAAUUUUCAAGAAUUAUGAGAUCGGUUCAUUAUUAUAGACCUUGAGGAUACGAUUUGAGUGAAGGAAGGGGUAUUGACAUUCAAGGUAUAUAUAGGAAGGCCACGACAAAAUUGUCAAGAAUUAUAAGAUAGGUUCAUUACUAUGGACCUUGAGGACAAGGUUCUAGUAAAGGAGGAGGUACUGACAUCCAAGGUAGAUACAGGAAGGUCAAGGAAAAAUUCCCAAGAAUUAUGAGAUAGGUUCAUUACUAUGCACCUUGAAAGAGAAAAUGAAGUUGUUUGUUUCUGAAGAAAAUGAUUUUAAGAGAAAAGAUGACUUUCUUUCUUAUUGAUUUUUCUUAAGUAUUUACAACUGAAUCAACUCAUCUUAUAUACACGCACAAGAUUGCAUCUUAAGCUAAUUACAUUCAGUUACACACACAUACGAAAUGACUAACAACAAUCUUAACAAUCUUGUGUUGAUCUGGCAACUUGCUUAAUUAACUCUGAUGAGAUGGCAUUGUUGAAUCGUUUGACUAACUAAGAUUGAAGCUUCUUCUCCUUCUUACUCAUACUCUCUGCGAGCUCAACACACUGAACUUCCUUAACAGCCCCCCUUAAACUCAAGGGGCAAGGCUGCACAUUGAGUUUUGAUCUCAGAUAGUUAAAAUGAACAAAAGAGAGGGGUUUUGUCAUGAUAUCAGCAAUAUGUUCUUCACUGGGACUGUACUGAAUUUUUAACUCCCCCGCAAUCACUUUGUUUCUGAUAAAGUGUAAGUCAAGCUCGACACUCGUCACUAUUAAUCUAUUCUACAAUAGAUUCGUGCACUUGUGAGUUCAAUAAAAUUUACACAACAAGUUUUUAGCGCCGUUGCCGGGGAGGUAAGUUAUUUUCAUUCGUGAAAUUAAUUUUUGUGAAUAAUUUCUUUUAAUUGUUUUCUUGUAAUUUUUUUAUAAAAAAAAAGAAAAAAAUGAAUCUACAUUUAGAGGUAAGAAUUUCUUUUCUUUUUCUCUUUUUUAAAAUUAUGUAAUUUAAUUUUCAAUUUAUUUUUCUUUGUAAUUUUUUUGUUUAUCUUAUUAAUUUAUUUUUAGUUAAUUUAUUUCACGUAUUUUUUUAAGUGUGUUUUUUAUAGAAAGAUUGUAACAGCGUGAUAAGGUUAGUACCGUAAUUUCUCCUUCUUGUUUAUUUUUAUUAAUUUUGUUCUUAUUUUUUUGUAUUCAUUGCAUGCAUGGUUGAAGGUCAUUAUUACCUAAUCUUGAGCCUAUAGAUCUUGAAUUUGAAAAAAAACUUCGCACACAUAAACACAUUGUAAUUAAAGAUAAAAGUGAAAUGGAUUUGCAACAACAACAAGCACAACCAGAGAGGCCAUUUAAGGACUAUUUCAGUCCCUUAGCUAAUUUGAACACAUCAUGCAUAAGAUACCCAAAUGUAGCUGCUACAAGUUUUGAACUAAAACCUAGUGUGCUAAAUUGUCUCCCAACAUUCUAUGGCUUAGAAAAUGAGGACCCAUAUAAUCAUCUGAAUGAUUUUCAUGCUGUUUGUCAAACUUUUAAAUAUGAGAAUUUUUCAGACGAUGAUGUUAAACUUAGAUUAUUCCCAUUUUCUUUAAAGGAUAGAGCUCGUUCAUGGUUAAAUACUCUGCCUGCUAAUAGCAUUACAUCAUGGGAACAAAUGGUAAUUAAAUUUUUAAAUAAAUAUUUCCCAGUGCAUAAAACUAAUGCUAUUCGCAAGGAAAUCUUAGAGUUUACCCAGAGAGAAGACGAACAAUUUUUCGAAACAUGGGAGCGAUUCAAUGGGCUACUCUUGAAGUGUCCGCAUCAUGGGUAUGAGAAAUGACAUCAAUGCUAAUACUUUUUGGAGGGAUUAUUGCCGAAUGUGCAAGAAUGACUAAUGGCAACAAGUGGAAGAGAGCUAAUGUCAAAAAGUGCAUCAGAGAUUUGGGAAUUCUUCUAGCGACAAGUGGAUAAUUCCCAACAACGGAGUUGGUCGCUCAGGAACACUAAAAGAAUUAAGGGAGUAAAUGAGGUUCACAUUGGCGAGUCAAGUUUAGAAAUUAAAGAAGUCAAAGCGAUAAUUGAAGGUCUCUCUCAACAAAUAGCAUCGUUAUCGACUGUUAAAUCAAUAAAGCCACAUGACCAUGACUCAUACUCAGAUCAAGCCAAUGCCAUAAGUGUAAUGAGAAAACCAUCAAAUUAUAACCCAUACUCCAAGACAUAUAACCCUGGAUGGAGAGACCACCCUAAUUUUUCAUGGCCUCAAGGAUUCUAACAAAAUGGACCAACAACUCCAGCUCUACCAAUGCAACCAAUUCCUCAAAUUCCUCAAGCCUCUUAGCCACUAUUUAGACCAUACAAUCAGAACCAGAACUACUCUCAACUCAGACCAUGGGAGGAUGCAUUCCAGAAUUUCAAGAAUGUUACUCACUUUAUGAUUGAGCAAUAAAACCGCACCAUUGAUGGACUACGAAAUGAGAUGAGAGCAGGCUUCAACUCACAAGCCCAAUCAGUUUCAAGCCUCGAGAAGAUAGUGGGAUAACUUGCUUCUUUAGUUCAGACCUUGACAAUGACUGUUGAGAAAGGAAAAUUUCGAAGUCAACCAGUGCCUAAUCCUAAAGGAGUACAUGAAGUAAGUAUCAGUUCACCACAGUAGCAUGGAGAGGUCAAAGCAGUCAUGACCUUGCGAAAAGGAAAAGAAGGCGACAAUAAAGUGGAGAUGCCAGUGAUAAAAGAAAAUCAAAUUGUACCUGUGAAUAUUGAGGACUUACCAUCGGAAGAGAAAGAAGAAACCAACUCAUGAGAAUAUGUUCCUAAAGCUCCAUUUCCUCAAAGGUUAGCUAAAGGAAAGAAGGAAAAAUCCACAGGUAAGAUUCUUGAAAUCUUCAAACAGGUAAGUGUUAACAUCCCUUUACUUGAUGCUAUAAAAUAAGUUCCAUCUUAUACUAAGUUUUUUAAAGACCUUUGUACUAAAAACAGAAACAUUCACGUUCAAAAGAAGGCAUUUUUAACAGAAAACAUUAGUUCUAUACUCCAACACAAAAUUCCUUUAAAAUGCAAAGACUCAAGCUCUCCCACUAUCUCAUGUAGUAUAGGGAACCACACAAUUGAGAAUGCUUUGUUGGAUUUAGGAGCUAGUGUAAAUCUGUUACCUUACUCAGUUUUCGUGAAACUUGAACUGGGAGAAUUACACCGAACUCCAGUGGUGUUACAAUUUACAGAUCGGUCCACGAAAAUACCUCGUGGUAUUAUGGAGGAUGUGCUUAUCCAGGUAGACAAGUUUUAUUUUCAUGUUGAUUUCAUUGUAAUUUACACUUAACCAAUAUAGGAUUCAAGGAAGCAUAUCCUCAUUAUUCUAGGCCGACCUUUUUUGGCAACUGCGGAUGCUCACAUUCAAUACAGGACUAGAAAUAUGCAGUUGUCCUUCGGCAAUAUGACUAUGGAGCUGAGCAUCUUCAACAUUGCCAAACAACCUCAUAAUGCAGAUGAUCCAAUUGUUGAUGUGGAGUUAAUAGAAGUAUUAGUUGAUAAUACUUUUGUUUCAAACCUUAGUGAUGAUCUUUUACAAACAUAUUUAACUGACUUUGGUUUCGAUUUUGAUAUUGACAGAUCGGUCAAUGAGGUCAACGCCCUACUUGACUCAGCACCAUCCAUGGACACUAAUAAAUGGAAGUCAAGAGUUGAACAACUAGCACCAUCGGAAAAGAAACUCAUCCCAUCACCAGAAUCACCACCGAAACUCGAGCUCAAACCAUUACCCAACACAUUAGAAUAUGCAUUUUUGGGAGAAGAAAACACUCUACCGGUAAUCAUCUUAUCAUCCCUAAACGACGAACAAAAAAAUAAGUUGUUGGAUGUUUUAAAAGAGCACAAAGGAGCAUUAGGAUGGACUAUAGCAGAUCUUAAAGGUAUAAACCCAGUAGACUGCAUGCAUUACAUUCACCUUGAUGAAAAUGCUAAACUUACUAAGGAAAUGCAACGUCGGUUAAAUCCUAACAUGAAAGAAGUUGUUAGAACUGAAGUUCUUAAGUUAUUAGACGUAGGUAUCAUUUAUCCAAUUUCUGAUAGUUCAUGGGUCAGUCCUGUAUAAGUUGUCCUUAAAAAGUCAGGAGUUACAGUAGUUACCAAUGCUGAUAAUGAAUUGAUACCAACUAGAGUAACUAUAUAAUGUCGUGUAUGCAUUGAUUAUAGAAAGUUGAAUUCUGUCACACGUAAAGACCAUUUUCCUUUACUAUUUAUUGAUCAAAUGCUUGAUAGAUUAACAGGCCAUGAAUUUUAUUACUUUCUAGAUGGCUACUCAGGAUAUAAUCAGAUUCCCAUAGCACCAAAAGAUCAAGAGAAAACCACUUUCACUUGCCCUUUUGGCACUUUUGCAUAUAGGAGGAUGCCAUUUGGAUUAUGUAAUGCACCUGCUACAUUUCAACGAUGCAUGUUAAGUAUUUUUUCUGAUAUGGUUGAACGAUUUCUUAAAGUCUUUAUGGAUGACUUUUCUGUCUUUGGUGAUUCAUUUAAUCAAUGUUUACAUCAUAUAACCUAGUUCUGCAGAGAUGUAUUGAGAAGAACUUAGUCUUAAAUUGGGAGAAGUGCCAUUUUAUGGUAAAACAAUGUAUUGUUCUCAGUCACAUCAUUUCGAGCAAAUGUAUUGAGGUUGACAAAGCCAAAGUAGAUCUCAUUUUUAAUCAUCCUCAACCCAAAACAGUCAGAGAAGUAAGAUCUUUCCUUGGGCAUGCUGGUUUUAUAGAUGUUUCAUUAAAGAUUUUAGCAAAGUUUCUAGACCCUUAUGCAAUCUACUUGCUAAGGAUGUACCUUUUGUCUUUGAUGAUUCAUGUCUUGUGGCAUUUGAAAAAUUAAAGCAGUUGUUGACAUCAUCACCCAUCAUUUAGCCCCUAAACUGGAGCUUACCAUUUGAACUCUUGUGUGAUGCAUUUGAUUAUGCAGUAGGAGCAGUUUUAGGAUAAAGAGUUGAUCGAAUUCCCCAUGUUAUUUACUAUGCUAGUAUGACAUUGAAUGAUGCACAAUUAAACUAUUAAACUAUUAAAAAAGAAAUGCUGGCAGUAGUGUUUGCAUUGGAAAAAUUUCGAUCUUAUUUCAUUGGUUGUAAAAUAAUUGUAUUCACGGAUCAUGCUGUUCUUAAAUAUCUUCUCACAAAGAAAUAUGCAAAAGCUAGACUAAUUCGUUGGGUGUUACUUUUGUAGGAAUUUGACUUAGAAUUCGACUUAGAAUUCAAAGAUAAGAAAGGCACAGAAAAUGUUGUGGCAGACCAUCUCUCUCGUCUCCAUUUUGAUACAAUUACAGAGCCAUUUACAUUGAAUGAGUCAUUUCUUGAUGAACAAUUAAUGAGUGUGGAAGUAUUACCUUGGUAUGGUGAUAUAGUUAAUUAUUUUGUUACAGGUCAACUUGCAGAGCAUUGGACCAAGCAAGACAAAGCCAAUUUUUUUUGCAGAAAUAAAGAAUUUCUUUUGGGAUGACCCGUAUUUGUUCAAGUAUUGUGCAGAUCAAAUUGUUAGACGAUGUGUUUCAGAAAGAGAAAUUCAUAAUAUUCUUUCAUUCUGCCAUGAACAAGCUUGUAGAGGCCAUUUCAGUGCUAAGAAAACAGCAACUAAUGUUUUACAAUGUGGUUUCUAUUGACCAACUAUAUUUCGAGAUGCUUACACUUUCUGUUCUUCAUGUGAUAGGUGUCAACGAAUGGGGGAGCAUUACACGAAGGAACAUGAUACCAUUAAAUCUAAUUUUAAUGGUUGAGAUUUUUUAUGUAUGGGGUAUCGAUUUCAUGGGACCCUUUCCCCCUUCUUUUGGCCAUCAAUACAUAUUGAUUGCUGUUGACUACGAAUCAAAAUGGGUAGAAGUAAUUCCAUGUAGAACCAAUGAUCACAAGGUGGUGAUAGCAUUUUUGAAAAGCAACAUUGUUUCACGUUUUGGAUUCUCUCGAGCAAUAAUCAGUGAUGGUGGUGCCCACUUUUGUAACAAAGCAUUCAAAGCUCUUUUGACAAAGUAUUCAAUCAUUCACAAAGUGGCGACCCUAUAUCAUCUGCAAACCAAUGGCUAAGUUGAGAUCUCCAAUCGAGAAAUAAAGCACAUAUUAGAAAAGAAGGUGAGGCCAGACAGAAAAAAUUGGUCAUUAAGACUUGAUGAUGCAUUAUGGGCAUAUAGAACGACUUUCAAGACCCCGAUUGGGAUGUCACCCUACAGGCUAGUGUAUGGAAAAGCUUGCCACCUACCUGUGGAACUCGAGCAUUGUGCAUAUUGGGCCAUCAAGAAAUUCAACUUUGACAUGCAGCAAGCUAGCUCAAAAAAAAGAUUACAACUGGCAGAACUUGAAGAAAUUCGCAAUGACGCAUACGAAAAUGCCAAGAUUUACAAGCAGCGGAUGAAAGUCUUUCAUGACAAGCAAAUUAUGAGAAACUCUUUCACUCCAGGUCAAAAAAUGCUUUUAUUCAAUUCUCGCUUGCACCUAUUCCCAGGUAAGUUAGCUCUCGAUGGUCUGGCCCCUUUAUUGUUCACACUGUUUUUUCACAUGGGGCAAUUGAAAUUAAAGACCCAAAGAACGGUGUAAUGUUUAAAGUUAAUGAUCAAAGAUUAAAGUCAUAUCUAGAGUACCAACCACAUGGAGAGGACACCGAAAUAAAUUUGAGUGACCCACUAGAUUUGAAUUGAGUUUUUUCUUUCUUUUUGGUGAUUUGAUUUUUUUUCCUUUCUUUUUAUUAUUCUUUUGCUAAUUGAAAUUAUUUUUGCACAAGUGUGUUUGUUUAACCAUUAAGUUUUCUCUUUUCAUUGUUAAUCAUGAAUGUCAUAGCUAAACAGUUCCUCCUGGACAUUCUUAAACCACUUCAAUGUGUAAAAUCUCAUCUUAAAAGGUAGAUUCAAUUUUGUAAAACACAUUGUAUUUGGGCUCUGCAACUUAGUAUCCUAUGUUGAGGAUUUAGAAAGCCAACUCAGAGACAUUGAGAGAAGUGUCUACAACAUCCAGUUGGAGCUUGAGGUAAAUUCAAUAAGAGAACGAUUGUAAUUGUCUUUAUGUGUUUUAGUUUCUUUUUCUUUGUUUGUGUGCUUUAGUUUGUUGCCCUGGUGAAGUGGUGGAUAACAGUACUCCGUGACAAUCAAGUCGGUUACUUCAGUUUCCCAUAAUAACUGAUAUUCUGAGGUGAAGGUAUAGACAUAAACGAGAUUCUAGCAAAGCUUCACAAUCGAUUCCUUUCACUUCCUCAGAAUGCCCUCCUUACAAUCUAUAAAGCUCGGUUCGAACGCAUGCGAUUGCUCAUGAGGAAUAACAUACCUGCUGACAUCCGUUAGUUAAUCGAGGAUAAAGUACGAUUAACAGGUGAGUUACCUCCAAAAUUUAUUGCAUACAUGCCUGGUUGUGGUAAAGAAAAUUAUGCAAGAAAACAAAGAGUUCGAAAAAUUUCUAUUGCUUGUCAUAAGUGUGCCAGAAUGAGUUACAAUAAAAAACCAUGCUCUUUAGGAAUGUUGUCUGAUAACAGGGAAGAUAACAUUCAAUUCAUUAUGGAUGGCUUGAAUAAGGAGUCAUUGGAUGAUAUCCUUUUGUCUCUUGAAAGGCAUCCCAGUGGAUAUGUGCAAGGAGCGAUUCUCCAGUUAUGACCAUUAUUCCAGAAAGAGCAUGAACGAUAUAGUCUAGGGAAUCUGACUAUAAAUGACCCUGUUUGCCAGUUUAUAAGAAAACUGGAUGGGAAGCCCAUCCUCGACCCAUAAAGGGCGUUCAAGCCGUUUCUGGACGUAAAACCAAAGGAAAAUGUGAGCCACAGUCGCAAUUACCUGUAAAUAUCCUUUUACUUCACUGUUAUUUUAUUUCACUGUUGUUUUAUCAUUUGUAUUAUUGUCUUUAAAUAAUUUUAUUUUAUCAUUGUUUCUUUUUCUUUUUACUAUUUUCUUUUUGACUUGCGAGCCAUGUGCUUUACGCGUUAUUUGACACUGACAUGCCACCUCAUACAUAUUUGUGACCCACUGUCACCAAGAUUCUUAAAUAAGACUUUUUGUUAAGCACUUACAAAUUAUUUUUGAGAAAUAUUCCAAUGGCAGCUACUCCCAAUAGACAAUUCAAGAACAUUUGUGUACUUUUUGGAUUUAAUUAUGGCAAACAUAAAGAGUUCGUUGAAGCAGCCGUAGAUCUUGGUCGAAGCAUAGCAGAGAGAAAAUUACACUUGAUGUAUGGAGGAGGUAACCGAGGGUUAUCAAAAUUGGUCUCAGAAGCUGCUUCUGUCAGAGGAAGCCAAGUGUUAGGCAUCAUCCCAAGAGCCCUAAAACCUUUGGGCAAUUUGUCUGAUCCACCGACUGGAGAAGAGUUAGUCGUCUCAGGUAUGCAAGAAAUAAUAACUGAAAUGCUUAAUCAUGCUGAUGCUUUUAUUUUCCUACCAGGAGAUCUUGCAACUCUAGAGGCACUUAUCACACUAGCAUCUUGGGCCCAUCUGCACAUUCACCAGAAAUCCAUCGGUUUGUUAAAUGUCAAUAACUUUUAUGAUGGCUUCAUCGCAUUUCUUAACCAUGCAAUAAAAAACUAUUUCAUUCAUUCCAUAGCAAAAAAGCCUUUUAUUUGUGCUCACACUGCUAAUGAGCUACUUGAUAUGUUACAAGCUUAUAGACCGGAGCCAGACCCCUGGACCUUUGUGUUGGAGUGUCCAAAUAAUGAUGAUAACAGUAGCCGCAGUAAGAAGUACAAAUUAGAUUUAACUCUCCGUCUAUAAAUAUUUUCUUCUGUGUUACACCACCCAGGUGAUGUCUUCUAAACUCUGCUUCUUUCCUUUAAAACAUUGAGGACAAUAUUUCGUUUUGGUUGGGGGGAGGGAAUAAUCGACAAUUGUGGAAUCUUGGUUAAGUUUUUACUGAUUUUUUAUUGUAGAAACUAACUGUUGCUAACUUUUUGUGUUGAAGAUGGCUGAAUAUGGAGUGUAGUGACUCUAGAAACGCAUCUUCAUCGUUUGAAAAAAAACAAAAGAAAAAAAAAGAAAAAAAAAUUCAGACAUUUUCUUUUUCUUUAUUAAGUUUUGAUGUUUAUUUUUCUUCUUCUUUUUAAUUUCUCCUUUAUAAAUAUACAUUUUUAAAAUUUUUAGUCGAAGAUGGCUGAAUAUGGAGUGUAGUGCCUCUAGAAACUCAUCUUCUUAGUUAAAAAAAAAACCAUUUUCUUUUUCUAUCAUUUUAAAUGUAACUUUUCUAAUUAUUUUUUCGGCAUCAUUUUCAUAUUUCUGCAUGCAUAUUUUCCUUUCAUGCUUAGAAUAGGUUGGAGGGUAGAAUGUUGUUUGAAAAAAAAAUUGUGUGAUUUGUUUUAACAUUGGAUAACAUGAUGAAUUGCAAAUUUUAGUAUUUGUAUUAUCUUUGGUCUUAAAUGAUGUUACGUCAUGUUUGCUACUCUACAUGUUGAUGUCAGAGACAAAUAUGAGUUGCUUGAAGGAAUGAACAUGUCAUAAUAAGUACCAAGUGAGUUUUUGAGCCUAUCAUUUUUCUUGGAGAGUAACCCUUUUGUCCAUUCUUGAUACAACUUAGCAGUUUAUUAUUUUAUACACGAUGUCUAGAUUUCUUUUGAGUUAACCCUUAAAAAAAAUUGUUGUAAAAUUAAAAAAAAAGAGAAAAAAAAUGCGUGUUGCUACAUCUAGAGGCUCAUCUAACUAGUAGAUAUGGAAGAUUAUUUAGAGCCCUAAAAAAUUAUGGAAAUGCCAUCUUUAAUUCGUUUGAGCCUUUCUAGCCAUCCCUUUUGUGAAAUAUCCAUAGUUAACCCUUUUGAGCCUUAAAAAAAAAACCUUUUCUUUCUCAACUUAUCAUCUUGACCCACUCCGAUUUUGAGUAUUACCCGAUGUCUUAUAAGUUCCAUCACCUAUUUAUGUUUGAGAAAAAUGUAAAUAAUUAUUUUGUUCAAUGACGUUUUGCCAAACAAAAGCAAAAAACAAAACAAAAAAAUAAAAAUAAAAAACAAAAAUUGUUGUUUCAAAAAGAAAAAAAAGGUGAAAUCUACCUUGCAACUUCCAAAAAAAAAAUCUCUGCAUUUUUCUCAAACAUACACUUUAUUUUCCUUAUUUCCUUUCUUUGUUAGCCAUGUCCCUAACCUACGUUACGUCCUAAUAAAAGUCCUUCUUGAUUUUAGGGAACUAUAGUCUGAAGUAGAAGCUAGUUAUAUAGGCUAAAAAGAUGUAGUUGUGCAUAAUAAAAAAAUAAAAAAAAAGAUAAAUAAAUUGGGUUGACUAGCAUUUUUGUUUGACUUGAGAUCGUAUUAUUUCUAAGCUGAGAGCAAAUUUCUUUCAUCUUGGUGGGAGCAUGUGAUAUCACUUCUUUAUUCUUUUCUCUCUCAAUUACCAUUUAUUGGAAUGACUAUUUUUAUUGGAUUUAAUUUCUUUGUGAGAGUGUUAUUAUUUCCAGUGAGAUUUUGGGGUUUAACAUAUCAUUCUUGAAAGUAGCUGUGACAAAGUCUACUGGGCUGAUUCAUAUGGAUGAUUGAUGUGGGUGUGUUGUUUCUUUAGACUGGAGAUAAUGCUUAUACUUUUAUUUGAUUACUAUCAUUUGUCUGAUUGAAUAAACAUGAUUGUUUAAAAAAAAAAUUCAUUUUGGAUUUGAAUUUUAUUUUCACUUUAUUUGCUAGGGACUAGCAAUAAGCUAGUUGGGGGGUGUGUUGAGAGUUAGAAAAUGUAUAUUUAUAAAGGAGAAAAUCGUCAUUUUAUAUUUUAAGUUUUACUAACACCCUUACUUUUAUGUAUUUAACCUUCUUGUGAUUUAAUUACGUGUGUUUUAUUUUAAUUAAGUAUUUUAUGUAUUUUAGGGGCAUCUUGGUCAUUUCACAGUGAACGAGAAAUCAGUAGGCAAAACGGACAUUACUUUUGAACUUAGGACAGUCGAAAACCUUAGAAGGGGCAUAAAAAUAAAAAUGUCACUGUUCACAUGUACGGUAUUGUCUACGUUGCUGUUUACGACACUGUUCAUAUAGAUGGAAUGAUGAUGUGGCAUUAACCGAUGAUGUGGCAUUAACCGAUGAUGUGGCAUUGACUGAUGAGGUGUCACGAUCCUGUUGGACUAAAAUUUUUAUGUACUGUUGAUCGAUGACUUGGCAGCAUAUCAGUGGACCAAAAAUCUCGCGUACAGUACAUGCAUUACACAUGAUUAUUUUCAACCAAAUUGUGUCACUGUUCAAACCGCGUGGUCAAACCCUGUCACUGUUCAAACCGCGUACUGUUGAUGCAUACUGUUGACUGAUGACGUGGCGCAAUCUUGAGCGUCCAAACUGUUUUUAAUCCGAUGGCCAUGAUUUACUCAAUGUAUCUAUAAAAAAGGGGACCUUUCCCCCCUAAUUUGGCAUCUCUGAAUCCAUUUUUGGACUCCAUUUUCUGCAAUUCCUUGUCUAUCUCAUAUUUUCUACGUAUUUUAAUAAAUUCUCAUUUUACCCCUAGUUCAAUUAUGAGUAGCUAAUUUUCUUUCAAGCUUGGGUUGAAGGUGAAGUCUCAACAUGUGUCAUGGGCUUUAUUUGGUAAAUUUAUUUUCUCUUUCCCUCUAGUUUUUGUGGAUUUUUUGACUUCUUGUCGACAAAUAAUAAUAAUUUUGUCUAGAUACCGCCCUGGUUUUACUGGCUCCCUAGUACAAGGUUAUUAUUAUUUGGCACGGUAAGCCCUUAACACCAUAUUGAUUAAAGUGUGGUUCAUGAGGUGUGGAUUCCCCCUUCAUGAUUUAAUUGGCACUAAUAAGGAAUAUUUAGCCCAUGGUGCAUGUUGAUACGGAUCCAGAUACCCAAGUGCUUUAUUUCAAUAAAUUUCUCUUCAGUUUAUUCUCACCAUUUUAAUUUAAGUUUUAGAAUAUUCCAAAUUAUUUCCACCAAAAAUCCAAUCACCCUCAUACAAAAUUAAUUCUACAUAUAAUUAAAAUCCACCUCCUUGUGGGAUCGACACUCGUCACCAUUAAUCUAUUCUACAAUAGAUUCGUGCACUUGCGAGUUCAAUAAAAUUUUCACAACAAAUCACCAAUAUGAGUAAUGACCAAACCUUGUCCAUUGCCAAUGGUCAGCUGGUCUGAGCAUUUGAAUUCUUCUCUCACAUGCAUAUUUGCCAUGUUGUUAGUAAUAUGAUGUGUAGCUCCACUGUCAAGAUACCACCCUUCAUCAGUUGAACCUUCAACAUUUGCAACAUAGGCUUCAGGCAGGGUAAAUGCUUCUGAUGGAUAAGAAGAAACAUGAGAGUAGUUCAUUGACUGAUAGCUAGGAUCUGAGACUUCAUAAGGAUCUUCAAUUGGUGAUGGUUGAUAAGAAAAUGGCUCAAAAUUAGCCAUAUAUGCAAUCUUUGAUCCUAUCAUUUUUCCUCUACCAAAUUAUUUAGGUGAAGAAAAAUAGGCAUCACCAUACCUAUACCAACAGGCAUCAGCAGUAUGUCCUUACUUGUGACAUAUUUGACAUAUAGGCAUUGGCUCAUUUAACUCACCACCAACAACAUAAUGCUUGAAUUGUUAGCAGGAGAGAACAUAUGCCUCAUUUGUGGUGGCCUAUGAGAUUGCAUGAACUGAGUUCUUCCAAAGCCAACAAUAUUUCCUCUACCAAAACCACUAGCAGUACUACCACCAGCUGGAAAACCUCUAGGAUAAGAAGCAGAAAACAUGCCUCGACCAAAAUUCUAACCUCUGCCUCCAGAUUGUCCAUGAGUAGCAUUACUAGCAUUACCAUAAGCAUUUCUCCUAGGAGCACCCCUGAUAUGUGAAUAGUUUGUAUUCAUCAUACUAUAAUUUGCAUUAAACAUGGCCUGAGGGUUCUAAUUUUGUUCCAGCCUAGCUUCAUGUGUCAGUAAAAGUGAAUAUGCAUCAUCAUAAAUCAUCUUAUUAGCUGUAAUUAUUGAAGCCAAAUCCAGAUAGCUAGAUCCAAGUCCAUUUAGUGUUCUUAUCAGUAAAUCCUUUUCAGUUAUGUUAUCACCAACACAUGCAAGUUUAUUAGCUAGCAUUUUCAUUUUCGAACAAUAUUCUUCAAUAGACAUUGACUUUUUCUCAGAGUAUCUAAUUCAUAUCGAAGUUGCAUUAUUUUUGCUUCAGAUUGUACUCCAAAUUACUUUUCAAUAGAUCUCCAUAUAUCAAAAGAAGUAUCAUAGUUAACAACUGAGCUUAAGAUACCUUAACUAAUUGUUGAAAGAAGCCAGCUAAGUAGAGUUUGAUCUUGAGCUCUCCAGUUGACAUAAGCUGGAUUUUCAAUCCUUUCCACAAAUCCAUCAGCUUGUGACUGAGAAAUAUAUUGUUCUGGAAUAUUUUGCUUCUCUGAGAUUAAUCCUUCAAGUCGGUUUCCUCUGAUUGAAGUGAUCACUUGUUUGUGCCAGAUAAGGAAGUUUGAUCGAUCGAGUUUUGCUGUUGUAGCAAAAGUGAAUGAAGUUUGUGUGGAAUGCAUUUGAUUGAUAUUUGAACAGUUUUGAUUUAUUGUACUGGAACUAGCCAUGGAUGGCUCUGAUACCAUGAAAGAGAAAAUGAAGUUGUUUGUUUAUGAGGAAAAUGAUUUUAAGAGAAAAGGUGACUUUCUUUCUUAUUGAUUUUUCUUAAGUAUUUACAACUGAAUCAACUCAUCUUAUAUACACGCACAAGAUUGCAGCUUAAGCUAAUUACAUUCAGUUACACACACAUACGAAAUGACUAAUAACAAUCUUAACAAUCUUGUGCUGAUAUGGCAACUUGCUUAACUAACUCUGAUGAGCUGGCAUUGCUGAAUCGUUUGACUAACUGAGACUGAAGCUUCUUCUCCUUCUUACUCCUACUCUCUGUGAGCUCAGCACACUGAACUUCCUUAACAAACCUUGAGGACAAGAUUCCAGUAAAGGAGGGGUAUCGACAUCCAAAAUACAUGCAAGAAGAUAAUGGGAAGAUGCAGGGGUGUAGCCAGCAUAGGACGUGCCCUAGUUGGCUUUUAAAUUUUUUUUU